This 392-nucleotide transfer-messenger RNA is filed under the name Deltaproteobacteria bacterium PRO3. It matches the Rfam family "transfer-messenger RNA". From Rfam's summary of the family: Bacterial tmRNA, also known as 10Sa RNA or SsrA, is named for its dual tRNA and mRNA-like properties. Its role is to liberate the mRNA from a stalled ribosome. To accomplish this part of the tmRNA is used as a reading frame that ends in a translation stop signal. Lineage: Bacteria; Deltaproteobacteria. The record is from RNAcentral.
GGGGCUGACAUGGCUUCGACGGAGAUUCGGAGGUGCCUGUGGCAGGCCGAGGAGUAUGGACCUCGUCAAAACUAUGCAAAACCACAAUUGCCAACAGCAAUGUGAUCAAGGUGGACUUCGCUCGCAAGAGCGUUGCUCCCCUCGCCUUAGCGGCCUAAUCCGCUUAGCUAAGCCGUCCCCCCCGUCGCGCCCAUAAGCGGGGUCAGGGCGUCAUUACUUGGGCUAGCGAGCGCCGGUGCUUAGGACGGCGUGAGCGAAACAACUCUUAGGCUGGUCCAGGGACGAUCCUGUCGGCGGGGUCGAACUGGAUAAGAAUAAAUACACCGAAUAAGCCUGUAGAAGCAUGUAUCGAAGGUCUUCGGACGCGGGUUCGAUUCCCGCCAGCUCCACAA